GUGAAAGUAAACUGCAGCAGAAUUACAGACUCGCCCUUAAUGCGGUAACGUUACUCCUGGACAUUCUACAGACAACAUCGCAUCGCAACAUUUAUAUAUCCUCAGGUGUUACACAGGGAGAGGAAGAAAGCUUCAAAGCGAUGUGUCUCCUGUGAGGUUGAGGACAUUUCCCUGAGAUUGAUGCUAAUCACAAGAAUCUCUUCUACAGCAGCACAAGAGGCAACAAUCAGCUUUAACACAACUCGAUUUUGUCGAAAUCAUUUUAGAGAUGAUGAAGCCGGCAAAGGAGAACCAAAGGAGAUAAACGUUUAUUUUGUAUAGCGCCUUUUACAAUGAACAUUGUCUCAAAGCAGCUUUACAAAAGAAGAAAACAGAGAAAAAGGAGGGGAAAAUGAAAAAUAAUAAUAAAAAAUAAAAAUAACUAAUUAACUAGAAAUAAGAAUAAAUUAUUAAAUUCUAUAAUUAGACUAUUUUAUC
This is a long non-coding RNA of Hemibagrus wyckioides, 477 nucleotides long. RefSeq lists it as uncharacterized. The transcript has 3 exons. The record is from RefSeq and is a predicted model, not a curated record. NCBI's taxonomy places the organism in Eukaryota, Metazoa, Chordata, Actinopteri, Siluriformes, Bagridae.